Molecule: small nuclear RNA, 196 nt
Organism: Dalotia coriaria
Lineage: Eukaryota; Metazoa; Arthropoda; Insecta; Coleoptera; Staphylinidae
Product: U2 spliceosomal RNA
Exons: 1
Source: RefSeq, a predicted model, not a curated record
AUCGCUUCUCGGCUCCGGCUAAGAUCAAAGUGUAUCGGUAAGUAAUCGGUUCUUAUCAGCUUAAUAUCUGAUACGACCCGCAUGCGGGUCCAGUAUAUUAAACUGAUUUUUGGACAUGGAUGAGAGUUAGGGGCUUGCUCCACUCACAUCAUGAUGUAGAGUUUAGUUGCCUAAUUCAAUUCUAGUCUAAUUCCAA